Molecule: ribosomal RNA, 487 nt
Filed under: uncultured bacterium
Lineage: Bacteria
Description: bacterial SSU rRNA
Rfam family: Bacterial small subunit ribosomal RNA
Source: RNAcentral
GAUGAACGCUAGCUACAGGCUUAACACAUGCAAGUCGAGGGGUAGCACGGAGGAAGCUUGCUUCCUUGGGUGACGACCGGCGCACGGGUGAGUAACGCGUAUCCGACCUACCCAUUACUCGGGCACAGCCGCUCGAAAGAGUGAUUGAUUCCCGAUAUGUCCUUGGAGUAGAUUCAAUGAUGAAAGAUUUAUCGGUAAUGGAUGGGGAUGCGUAAGAUUAGGUAGUAGGCGGGGUAACGGCCCACCUAGCCGACGAUCUUUAGGGGUUCUGAGAGGAAGGUCCCCCCACACUGGUACUGAGACACGGACCAGACUCCUACGGGAGGCAGCAGUGAGGAAUAUUGGUCAAUGGGCGGAAGCCUGAACCAGCCAAGUAGCGUGAAGGAUUACAGCCCUACGGGUUUUAAACUUCUUUUAUAUAAGAGUAAUGUGCACUACGUGUAGUGUACUGCAAGUAUUAUAUGAAUAAGCAUCGGCUAACUCCGUG